Molecule: ribosomal RNA, 434 nt
Filed under: uncultured bacterium
Lineage: Bacteria
Description: partial 16S ribosomal RNA
Rfam family: Bacterial small subunit ribosomal RNA
Source: RNAcentral
AGCGAACGCUGGCGGCAGGCCUAACACAUGCAAGUCGAACGAACCUUUCGGGGUUAGUGGCGGACGGGUGAGUAACACGUGGGAACGUGCCUUUAGGUUCGGAAUAACUCAGGGAAACUUGUGCUAAUACCGAAUGUGCCCUUCGGGGGAAAGAUCUAUCGCCUUUAGAGGGGCCCGCGUCUGAUUAGCUAGUUGGUUGAGGUAAUGGCUCACCAAGGCGACGAUCAGUAGCUGGUCUGAGGGGAUGAUCAGCCACAUUGGGACUGAGACACGGCCCAAACUCCUACGGGAGGCAGCAGUGGGGAAUCUUGCGCAAGGGGCGAAAGCCUGACGCAGCCAUGCCGCGUGAAUGAUGAAGGUCUUAGGAUUGUAAAAUUCUUUCACCGGGGACGAUAAUGACGGUACCCGGAGAAGAAGCCCCGGCUAACUUCGUG